AUCAGAGGGGGAUAACAUCCGGAAACGGAUGCUAAAACCGCAUAGGUCUUCGAACCGCAUGGUUUGAAGAGGAAAAGAGGCGCAAGCUUCUGCUGAUGGAUGGACCCGCGGUGCAUUAGCUAGUUGGUGAGGUAACGGCUCACCAAGGCCAUGAUGCAUAGCCGACCUGAGAGGGUGAUCGGCCACAUUGGGACUGAGACACGGCCCAAACUCCUACGGGAGGCAGCAGUAGGGAAUCUUCCGCAAUGGACGCAAGUCUGACGGAGCAACGCCGCGUGAGUGAAGAAGGUUUUCGGAUCGU
Molecule: ribosomal RNA, 301 nt
Filed under: Mycobacterium tuberculosis
Lineage: Bacteria; Bacillati; Actinomycetota; Actinomycetes; Mycobacteriales; Mycobacteriaceae
Description: bacterial SSU rRNA
Rfam family: Bacterial small subunit ribosomal RNA
Source: RNAcentral